ACCACAUGUAUGUCCUUCAGAAUGAAAAAGAAUUAUCCUCUUUCUCAGUAUUCACAGGAUGUAGAGAGAGAAAGAGAGAGGCACAGGCACAGGAGGAGAGAGAAGCAGGCUCCAUGCUGGGAGCCUGACGUGGGACUCGAUCCCGGGACUCCAGGAUCACGCCCUGGGCCAAAGGCAGGCGCCAAACUGCUGAGCCACCCAGGGAUCCCCCAUAAACAUUACUCUGCUGGAAUGUGUGCUGGAUUUGGGGGACAGCUGGAGUUUGGCCCAGGCUUCGCUACAUCGCCCCCAUGCUGCCAAGGAGCCCAGAAGACCUUGACCAAGGGCAGGAUGAGUCAGGAGCUACAAGCAAUCUUCCAAGACCAUUUCCUGUGGCCUCCCCUCCCUGGCCUAGGACCAAAGCAGGACCGUGGAGACUGCCCCUCUUCCAUCCUCUAUUGCCUCUGAAUCGGUGAUACUGAUUUAAGGCACUCACACUGAAGCCUCCAUUUAUACUUGUUUAGAGUUCUUUGGAAAUAAGAAAAAACAUACAAUUGUUUCUAUUUCUCUGAAAAUAAGGGCAAUACUAGAUACCUAUUGCUUAAAAUAAAUAUUGUUG
RNAcentral lists this long non-coding RNA (598 nucleotides) under Canis lupus dingo (dingo). RNAcentral's name for it is "lncRNA (ENSCAFG00020007328.1)". The record is from RNAcentral. Lineage: Eukaryota; Metazoa; Chordata; Mammalia; Carnivora; Canidae.